Long non-coding RNA from Armigeres subalbatus, 583 nucleotides. RefSeq lists it as uncharacterized. The transcript is spliced from 3 exons. The record is from RefSeq and is a predicted model, not a curated record. NCBI's taxonomy places the organism in Eukaryota, Metazoa, Arthropoda, Insecta, Diptera, Culicidae.
GAAAAAAUGAAACUGAUGUUGUGGUGCAGGAAGUGUCCCUUCAUUAUACGGAUUCUGGGAGUGGGCAAGCGGCGGAUCAUAGGCUGCUGUGUCGUGAAGGAAGUUUAUGGUAAAACCACGUAAGACUGAAUAUCGUUCGGCAGCUAUUAUUGGCCUAUCUUACCAAUUAGAUACAAUAAUAACUGAUACAGGUUCACACAUAACCUGAUGUGUUAGAGAAAACGACUAACUUCACCAACUCAAGAAAAAACAAGUCGUAUGUAAGUCCUAUAGGAGACAUCAAGCUCUCUUUCCUGGUGGCUGAAAUUACACCGUGCUCAGCGAGUAUAGCGAGGUGCAUGAUCGGCGCAUUUGAUUUUAACGUCAAUGCAUCAGUGACUAAGUAAAAGCAAAGCGCCAAACAACAAUACUAACACAUUAAAUUUUGGAUUGAAUGAAAACUAAUUUGAAAUCGAACAAAAACUGGAUCAAAACAAAAUUUAAAUUUAAUUCAAAUGAAAUUCAAAUAUAAUUAAAGUAAAUUGGAAUUAAAUUCAAAUUAAAAUUAUUGUUGAAUCACAUUGAAUUGAAAUUAAAGUAAAAU